RNAcentral lists this ribosomal RNA (303 nucleotides) under uncultured bacterium. Its description in RNAcentral is "partial 16S ribosomal RNA". It matches the Rfam family "Bacterial small subunit ribosomal RNA", at positions 507 to 809 of the family's 1533-position model. The record is from RNAcentral.
AGCAGCCGCCGCGGUAAUGCGUAGGUGGCGAGCGUUGUCCGGAAUCAUUGGGCGUAAAGCGAGCGCAGGCGGUUAGAUAAGUCUGAAGUUAAAGGCUGUGGCUUAACCAUAAUAUGCUUUGGAAACUGUUUAACUUGAGUGCAGAAGGGGAGAGUGGAAUUCCAUGUGUAGCGGUGAAAUGCGUAGAUAUAUGGAGGAACACCAGUGGCGAAGGCGGCUUUCUGGACUGCAACUGACGCUGAGGCUCGAAAGCCAGGGGAGCGAACGGGAUUAGAUACCCGUGUAGUCCCUGUCUCUUAUACA